AAUGAACGCUGGCGGCAGGCCUAACACAUGCAAGUCGAACGAGGUAGCAAUACCUAGUGGCGGACGGGUGAGUAACGCGUGGGAACGUGCCCCUUGGUACGGAAUAGCCCUGGGAAACUGGGAGUAAUACCGUAUGUGGUCGAGAGACGAAAGAUUUAUCGCCAAGGGAUCGGCCCGCGUUGGAUUAGGAAGUUGGUGGGGUAAUGGCCUACCAAGCCGACGAUCCAUAGCUGGUUUGAGAGGAUGAUCAGCCACACUGGGACUGAGACACGGCCCAGACUCCUACGGGAGGCAGCAGUGGGGAAUCUUAGACAAUGGGGGAAACCCUGAUCUAGCCAUGCCGUGUGAUCGAUGAAGGCCUUAGGGUUGUAAAGAUCUUUCAGUGGGGAAGAUAAUGACGGUACCCACAGAAGAAGCCCCGGCUAACUCCGUGCCAGCCGCCGCCGUAA
Molecule: ribosomal RNA, 449 nt
Filed under: uncultured bacterium
Lineage: Bacteria
Description: partial 16S ribosomal RNA
Rfam family: Bacterial small subunit ribosomal RNA
Source: RNAcentral